UACGAAGGGUGCAAGCGUUACUCGGAAUUACUGGGCGUAAAGCGUGCGCAGGCGGUUUUGUAAGCCAGAUGUGAAAGCCCCGGGCUUAACCUGGGAAUGGCAUUUGGGACUGCAAGGCUGGAGUGUGGCAGAGGAGACUGGAAUUCCUGGUGUAGCAGUGAAAUGCGUAGAUAUCAGGAGGAAUACCGAUGGCGAAGGCAGGUCUCUGGGCUGACACUGACGCUCAUGCACGAAAGCGUGGGGAGCAAACAGG
This 253-nucleotide ribosomal RNA is filed under the name uncultured bacterium. RNAcentral's name for it is "partial 16S ribosomal RNA". It matches the Rfam family "Bacterial small subunit ribosomal RNA", at positions 524 to 776 of the family's 1533-position model. The record is from RNAcentral.